GGAGCUGUGCCCGAAGUUUAAGGACCACUUUGAUAGAGUGAACUAUGGGGGUUAAAGUCCCCUCAACUCCU
Molecule: transfer RNA, 71 nt
Filed under: Lates calcarifer (barramundi perch)
Lineage: Eukaryota; Metazoa; Chordata; Actinopteri; Centropomidae
Description: tRNA-Ile
Rfam family: tRNA
About the family: Transfer RNA (tRNA) molecules are approximately 80 nucleotides in length.
Source: RNAcentral